Molecule: non-coding RNA, 994 nt
Organism: Maylandia zebra (zebra mbuna)
Lineage: Eukaryota; Metazoa; Chordata; Actinopteri; Cichliformes; Cichlidae
Source: RefSeq, a predicted model, not a curated record
GACUGAAGAUCUGCUUUGUGGGCUGGACCUCUUCAGACACCAGAAUGAAAGCAGAACCUGCAAUAUGACUCACAACACCUCUCUGAGGUUUGACUGAGUCAAAAGAGUUUGUGAUCCAACUGCAUGUUGGAGGCCAAAGGUCAGCUGCUGGCUGUGAGAGGUAGGUCCUUGGGUCAGUCUGAAUGUGACAAACACACUGUCAGUUGCUGAGGAGUCGAGUCCUUUUUAAUAACGCUUUGGCACACGAGUCCCAGAUCAGUUACAGAUGCUAGCCCUCGAGCAGAGAGGGUUGGUGUUCUGUGCUGUGGCUCGAAUGCAGGCUGAGAUCACAAGAAGACCUGCGAGCUGCUGAUGUUUCAUGUGUAUGACGAUGUGAAGAGAAGGAAGCUGAAUGCAGAGGUGGUGCUCUCCGCCUCUGCCGCCAGGCCAUGUUACACCACAGUUCAAGAGGGGGGCAAUGAACGUGUCACAGGUGCGACUCACCUGACUUGACUACACCUGAGUGUGUGGUCAAGUGAGUCUGAGGAGGAGGACCUGUGUCCGUCACAUGUCUGCUGGGACUCUGCAGACACACAAAUCUUGAUGUAGGUGUAAAAACCACUGAUGUUUGGAAAUGCUGAGCUGGAUUUGAUCCAAACCUUCUGCUGUAUUUAUUUUUGUUUCAUUCUCUAUUUUCUGUAACAGAAUGAAAUAAAUCAGGUUAAAUUGUUUUCAUUUGUCAGUGAUGACAGUCAUGCACCUGAGGGCAUCAUCAAACUGUUUUCAUCUGAACCAAAUAUUUGCAUAGAUGUAAGAUUAUCUACAGCUGCUUUCAGUACCACUGAUGUUAAUUUAGUGUCUUUCUCUCCAGCUGAUCUGAGUUAGCUUGAGUAACUACCACCAGCUGCUUUGGCCUGUUCUUUUCUGUAUCACAUGGUGGCGCAGUAAGUCACUGUAACUUUCAUUUAAUUAGAGUUUAUUUCCUGUAAACAAAUAUUAAAUGAUUUCUAACCAA